GAUCAUGGCUCAGAUUGAACGCUGGCGGCAUGCUUUACACAUGCAAGUCGAACGGCAGCGCGGGGCAACCUGGCGGCGAGUGGCGAACGGGUGAGUAAUACAUCGGAACGUACCCAGAAGUGGGGGAUAACGUAGCGAAAGUUACGCUAAUACCGCAUACGUUCUACGGAAGAAAGUGGGGGAUCGCAAGACCUCAUGCUUUUGGAGCGGCCGAUGUCUGAUUAGCUAGUUGGUGAGGUAAAGGCUCACCAAGGCGACGAUCAGUAGCUGGUCUGAGAGGACGACCAGCCACACUGGGACUGAGACACGGCCCAGACUCCUACGGGAGGCAGCAGUGGGGAAUUUUGGACAAUGGGGGCAACCCUGAUCCAGCAAUGCCGCGUGAGUGAAGAAGGCCUUCGGGUUGUAAAGCUCUUUUGUCAGGGAAGAAAAGGCUGCGGCUAAUAUCCGCGGCUGAUGACGGUACCUGAAGAAUAAGCACCGGCUAACUACGUGCCAGCAGCCGCGGUAAUACGUAGGGUGCAAGCGUUAAUCGGAAUUACUGGGCGUAAAGCGUGCGCAGGCGGUUUUGUAAGUCUGUCGUGAAAUCCCCGGGCUUAACCUGGGAAUUGCGAUGGAGACUGCAAGGCUGGGAGUCUGGCAGAGGGGGGUAGAAUUCCACGUGUAGCAGUGAAAUGCGUAGAGAUGUGGAGGAACACCGAUGGCGAAGGCA
This 712-nucleotide ribosomal RNA is filed under the name uncultured Massilia sp. RNAcentral describes it as "bacterial SSU rRNA". It matches the Rfam family "Bacterial small subunit ribosomal RNA", at positions 15 to 723 of the family's 1533-position model. Lineage: Bacteria; Pseudomonadati; Pseudomonadota; Betaproteobacteria; Burkholderiales; Oxalobacteraceae. The record is from RNAcentral.